This 726-nucleotide ribosomal RNA is filed under the name uncultured bacterium. Its description in RNAcentral is "bacterial SSU rRNA". It matches the Rfam family "Bacterial small subunit ribosomal RNA", at positions 61 to 788 of the family's 1533-position model. The record is from RNAcentral.
GUCGAACGGGAAUUACUUUAUUGAAACUUCGGUCGAUUUAAUUUAAUUCUACUGUUAGACGGGUGAGUAACGCGUGGGUAACCUGCCUUGUACAGGGGGAUAACAGUCAGAAGUGACUGCUAAUACCGCAUAAGCGCACAGGACCGCAUGGUCCGGUGUGAAAAACUCCGGUGGUAUAAGAUGGACCCGCGUUGGAUUAGCUAGUUGGUGAGGUAACGGCCUACCAAGGCGACGAUCCAUAGCCGGCCUGAGAGGGUGAACGGCCACAUUGGGACUGAGACACGGCCCAAACUCCUACGGGAGGCAGCAGUGGGGAAUAUUGCACAAUGGGGGAAACCCUGAUGCAGCGACGCCGCGUGAAGGAAGAAGUAUCUCGGUAUGUAAACUUCUAUCAGCAGGGAAGAAAAUGACGGUACCUGACUAAGAAGCCCCGGCUAACUACGUGCCAGCAGCCGCGGUAAUACGUAGGGGGCAAGCGUUAUCCGGAUUUACUGGGUGUAAAGGGAGCGUAGACGGAUGGACAAGCCUGAUGUGAAAGGCUGGGGCUCAACCCCGGGACUGCAUUGGAAACUGCCCGUCUUGAGUGCCGGAGAGGUAAGCGGAAUUCCUAGUGUAGCGGUGAAAUGCGUAGAUAUUAGGAGGAACACCAGUGGCGAAGGCGGCUUACUGGACGGUAACUGACGUUGAGGCUCGAAAGCGUGGGGAGCAAACAGGAUUAGAUACCCU